UUUUGAAAAAGAGAAAGAACACAGUUGGGUCGGUAGGAAGGACCUGGGAGAAGUUAGGAGAGGGGAAAACAUGGUCAAAAUACAUAUGAAAAAAUUAAUAAAAAACCCAAACGUGAGCUGCCACACAUGGCUUUAGAAGUGUACUCUGAUGUGAGCAGAGCAAGGGGACUUUGGAGACACAUUUUUGAGAUGGUAUGACCUGCUGAGCUGGCCGUUUAGUCCCUCAGAGGCACAUUCAUGAGGGGUCAGGUUUGGAUUGCAGUCUCAGUUUGCAAUAAGAUCGCAGCUGCCAGGAGUCCACAUGCCACCUUUGUCUACAUUGGAAACAGGAGUCUCCUCUUAGGCAGCUGCAGCCACAGCAGCCUUUGUCAAGAUAACUCUCUUGCUACACAGUUUGGCCAGUGACGACUCCCAGCUCUUGCUAUUCUUCAGUGUCUUUGAGAAGCACAUGGGCUGUCCCAUGGUACAGCGCAACCCUGACUGAACCUCUCCUUCAAAGCCACAGCACGCUCAGCUAAGCCAAUCAGGCUAUCCCCCACCCCCGUUUUUUCGCUUUGGAAUAUGUUUGUUGGCUCUGCCAGUGUGGCGUGUAAGAAAGAACCGAUUAGUCUCCAGGUUCCUUGCUCCCCAGAAUGCCCUUAAGCCCGCUUCCCUCUACCGCUUCUGUUGGAGGCUUUGACUUCAGAGAUUCCGACUUCACAUUACUCACUAACCCACACCUUAAAUGAUUAUGCUUCUAGAUCCCAUCACAGGGUUAUUAUGUGAUUUGUUCCAGCCCUUCUUCCUAAUCAAACCUUAUUCCUUCCUCUGAAGAGACCAGAAGGACAAGCCAACAGCCAAGUCCCCGCAACUUCCCAGGUUCCGGUUAACCUUGGUUGCUGAGUUUCGGUGCAGCGCAGGACUGGAAGGCUCUCCCAGAUCACCCCUGCCAAGGCUGCUUCUCCACUUCUUGUCUAUCAUUGGGGAGACAUACAAACAUGCUUGUCUCCCCAGUGUUCCUGAAUUAUUCUCUUUAUAGCUGGUUAAGGUCAAGGCUAGGAGAACAAUGGCCCCAAUUAGAAGAAACACCACAAACAAACUUUUGAGGGUCAGCUGUCCUGGGCUUCUGUGGAUGGGCUCCGUGUUAGCUGUACACUAUCUCCUGGGAAGAGGGCUUCCAUCAAGGACAGUCAAUUCUGUCUUCUCCAAAUAGCAGAUUAAGAGGAGCAACAAAGUAGCCUUCGGGGAUGACUGCACUAGUAAUGUGGAUGGCUGCCACUACAAAGCAGGGAGAUCCAUCAAUUGGAGGAUUCUUCCAGUUUUAAACGUCCAAGACUGAAAUAACAGUGAUUUUCCAUUUAUGUUUGAACCAGAUUUAAGGAUUUUUUUUUUAAUUUAAGGAGUUUUUGCAGGUAGAUAAAAAAACCACUUGAGAAAAUAAUCUACCACUGUCAAAUGGUGGUGGGGCCCAGAUCACCUAAGUGCCCCCAAUUCAGCAACUUCUUGGUGCCCAUUCUAUGAAACUCAUAUGAUCAUAGGCAGGAAUAAUCUUUAUUAAUUAUACUAACUUAUCUUCUGAGUCAGAGUCUUUCACUGAACCUAGAACUGGCUGGCUAGGGAGUCCUGGGGAAGCCCCUCUCUCUGCCUCCACAGCGUGGGAACCACAGGCAUGAGCUCCUACCUGUGCCUGGCUUUAGAAAGUAUUAUUGUCAUCAUCAUCAUCAUCAUCAUCAUAUUAUUAUUAUUAUUAUUAUUACUGAGAUUAUAAUAUAAUAACAUCAUUUCUCUUUUAUACUUAAACCCUCCUAUAUAUUACUCCUCUCUUUCAAAUUCAUGGCCCCCACUUUUUAUUAACUGUUGUUAAUACACACAUGCACACAUGCACGCACACGCACAUACACACAUAUACACACACUCCUAAAUAUUGCCUGUUUGGUCUAGAUAAUAUUAUUUGUAUGUAUAUUUUCAAGAGUGACCAGUUGGCAAUGUUUAAGCACUGGUGUGCUCUUCCCUAUGGAAGACUACCUCUCGAUGUCAGUGUUCCCUAGCUGGUUGCAGCUCUAUGUGUACGACUGAGGCCUUGCAGGCUUUCUUACAUCUAUUGUUGUCCUUAUUCAACCCAUGUUCAGGCAGUCAUGUUGGUGUGACUUUAUGGGCAUGGCUUCUGACAUUACUAGGAGAUACAGUCUCACAGCUCUUAGAAUCUCCCUGAGUCCUACCAUCCUUCUGCUCCUCUCCCACAGUAUCCUGAAGCCUUAGGUGCAGUGGGACGCUCUAUAAAUGUAUUCGUCGGGACUGGCUCUUCCUUUUGAUUGGUUGUGGUUUUCUGUAAUGGUUUCUAUCUGUUUCAGAGAGAAAUCUCCUGGAUAAGAGAGUCCUCUACAGACACACCUUAAAGACAAUGGUGGGUGAGGAGCAGAGGUUGCAAAGGAAGAAGAAUAGAUUGGUUCCUGUAGAAGUCAAGGGGGCCAGAUGGAUCAGGAUGGUGUAUGCCUGGCAGUGGUCAAAAACUGCAGUCUGUUGGAGCUGGAGAUCACGCUUCGGACCUGGAGGCAAGCAGCACUGGUCUCUGGUUCACCAGUUGAUGACUUAAGCUCGGAGGACAGAGUCCUUCUCCUAUGGGAAAGGCCCCAGCGGACAUGCACAGCUCAGCCAGAAAUUACAACGUCUGGGAGGCUUGUCUGCAUUUCUCUUUGUGAUAACUUUUGUGGCAUUUCACCCCAAGUAUUUCAGAAAUAUAUCUACCCACCCACAGACUUUAUGUGUAGAGGAGUACUGGUCUUCUGGAAUAUUAAAUGCUCUCUCUCUCACACACACAAACCAAAGCAAAAUUUGAAGGAUAAGUUGAUGCAUUGAUAGAACGUUAUUUGGUUGUAACAAAAUCUGUAAGGAUGUGUGUAUUUUAAAAAUAAUGAGUGUGUGUGGAAGGCAGGCAGAAGAGCAAGUUUUGUCUUUAAGGGAGCCCUGGUGUGAACUGUCAAUUCUUUGUGGAUUAGUAUGUGCUGGCUUUAGCUCAUUUAAACUUUAGCAAAUCUCUCUGAGUGAGGCAACUCUUACUCUUCCCUGAAGAUGAAGUUUCUGAGUCUCAAUCAAUCUAAGGCCACAUGACUAAUGUGAAGCUACAACUAAGGUGCCCCGUUGCUCCAAAGAUACAGCUCAUACUUAUUCCAUUAUACCAUGUUAUAUGCAGAGAAACCUAUGCUAUUACUAGCUCAGUAAAGGACUUUGAGCAAUAGCAGCUGAGUAUGCAUAUUAUAAUAUAAUAGUAUAUGGAAUUAACAGUAUAUAAGAAACAUAUCCCUGUUUUAUACUACAUACUUAUUUUUUAAUCAAAUAAAGUAACAAUGUGAUGGAAUCUAUAUGAAGAUAAAUAUCUAUAUGAAGAUAUUUUUGUCCUUUGCCCCCAGAACCCUUGGAGGACUCCCUUCUGAUUUGGGGAGGUUAUCAUGAAUGAACCAGUGCAGAUACGUCGUCACCCCUGUUCCUCCUGCUUCUGCAGCAGCAGACCCCUCAGGAUAUUCAUUUCCCAGGCAACAAGAUACAUGCUUCCACUACUCACAAGGAUUCCAAGAGCAGACUGCAAUCAUGAAGGCCUAAGGUGGCCCAGGGUGUAACACUAAGCAAUUAGACAACCAGAUUUACUUUCCACAGAGGCAGAACCAAACUUAGAAAUAGAAAAUAAAGAGUUUUUUUCCCUCCCCGAUCCUCCAAAUUCUGUUGUGUGUUUCCCCCUUUUUCUUCUAAUCAUAAAAAAAAAUAAAAAC
Molecule: long non-coding RNA, 3743 nt
Organism: Mus musculus (house mouse)
Lineage: Eukaryota; Metazoa; Chordata; Mammalia; Rodentia; Muridae
Product: predicted gene, 37762
Exons: 3
Source: RefSeq, a predicted model, not a curated record